RNAcentral lists this ribosomal RNA (254 nucleotides) under uncultured bacterium. Its description in RNAcentral is "16S ribosomal RNA". It matches the Rfam family "Bacterial small subunit ribosomal RNA", at positions 1019 to 1272 of the family's 1533-position model. The record is from RNAcentral.
CUUCGGGACUCUGACACAGGUGCUGCAUGGCUGUCGUCAGCUCGUGUCGUGAGAUGUUGGGUUAAGUCCCGUAACGAGCGCAACCCUUGCCCUUAGUUGCCAGCACGUAAUGUGGGGAACUCUAAGGGAACUGCCGGUGACAAACCGAAGGAAGGGGGGAAUGACGUCAAGUCAUCAUGGCCCUUACGACCUGGGCUACACACGUGCUACAAUGGCCGGUACAAAGGGUGGCCAAGCCGCAAGGGGAAGCUAAA